Gambusia affinis (western mosquitofish) is the source of this 1231-nucleotide long non-coding RNA. RefSeq lists it as uncharacterized. Lineage: Eukaryota; Metazoa; Chordata; Actinopteri; Cyprinodontiformes; Poeciliidae. The transcript has 4 exons. The record is from RefSeq and is a predicted model, not a curated record.
GAUAGUGACAUACCUCUGUCGAUCCUGGCUCCAUGACGCCCCUCUGUGCCUCCGCCUCUUUGUCCCUCCGUCAGAUAUAACAAGCCCAGAAAAACUGCAACCCGCGACUUUAGGCUAAAACAACUUUAGGAUAAAACGACUUUAGGAUUAGUUCUGUCUUAUUUCAAGUGUACUAAGAUAUUUCCAGUAGAAACUGGACCAAAAGAACUCAACAGUGUUUGGUGUUUUGGCAGUGAAUGAUCAGUGAUAGUUCCUAAAUAGUUCCUUAUUGUCCAAAAUAGUUCCUUAUUGUCCAACGACAAAAUAAGCAUUGCUCCUUUGUUUACGUUUCUGCCGCUGCUGAUACUGAAACUGUGGUCGCUCCCCAAGACGCCUAAGAAAUACAAUGAAAUUACAAAAGAAAAUAGUAACGCACAGUGAUUUGGAUAAGGAACUUUAAUCUCAUUGCGGUAUUUGAAAUGUUAAUGCGUUGGAUUACUUGUUACUGAAAAAAGUGGUCCGAUGCCAAACUGGUCCGCGUUACAAAGUGAUGUGUUACUGACAUCACUGAUCACAAUAUCUAGUGUUCUUAUUUCCCAGUCUUAUGUAUUUAUUUAUUGACAAUUUUGGCUGGAUCUGUCCUCCAUAGAUACAAUCUUUAAAAAUAAAGAUGUUUAGCAAUCUCUUCUCUGUUUAAGGUAUUUUAGAGCCUGCCUGUAUUUAUUAUAGCCGUCAGUCAGAUGUUUUCAGAAAGAUAGUUUGAUGUCCCAUAGAGCUCUGGAAGCCAGCGUUGAAGAAAAUGCAGCACUGGUGAAGAGGGAGAGAUGUGAAGCGCAGAGUGAGAUGUGCAGCCCUGCAGACUGGAUCCGUCAGGAUGACUGGCCCAUCACUCAUCCAGUCUUUGGCUUGAAGAGGACGUAAAGGAAGACACAGACCACCGUGAGGAAGCAGGACGCUGUCACCAUGCCUACAACCAGCCACGUAAAGAGGACGCUGGAUCAGUCAAGGAUCACAGAAACCAAAUAAAACUCACUGCUGACAGUACUGAGGGUGCUGCUGCUGGGCUGACCCGGAUCUGUCGGCGUGGUGACGACAGGCAUGGAGGUAGUGACUGCCGGGUCUGAAUCUGGCAGACAACGCAUCCAGAAUGAGAAACUCAAAUGACAGGGAACAUCUCACUUCUCAGGAGAAGGUUCAUAAAGAAAAUCUGACGGCACUGACCUUCCACGUGGAGCAGGUAGGCUCUGCUGAC